UACGUAGGUGGCGAGCGUUGUCCGGAUUUACUGGGCGUAAAGAGCGCGCAGGCGGUCGUUCAAGUCGCGUGUGAAAGCCCCCGGCUCAACUGGGGAGGGUCACGCGAUACUGAUCGACUCGAAGGCAGGAGAGGGUAGUGGAAUUCCCGGUGUAGUGGUGAAAUGCGUAGAGAUCCGGAGGAACACCAGAGGCGAAAGCGGCGCUCUGGGCUGCACCUGACGCUGAACUGCGAAAGCCAGGGGAGCGAACGGG
RNAcentral lists this ribosomal RNA (253 nucleotides) under uncultured bacterium. RNAcentral describes it as "partial 16S ribosomal RNA". It matches the Rfam family "Bacterial small subunit ribosomal RNA", at positions 524 to 776 of the family's 1533-position model. The record is from RNAcentral.